Molecule: ribosomal RNA, 204 nt
Filed under: uncultured bacterium
Lineage: Bacteria
Description: partial 16S ribosomal RNA
Rfam family: Bacterial small subunit ribosomal RNA
Source: RNAcentral
UACGUAGGUGGCAAGCGUUGUCCGGAUUUAUUGGGUUUAAAGGGUGCGUAGGCGGCCGCUUAAGUCAGUUGUGAAAUCUCCCGGCUCAACUGGGAGGGGUCAUUCGAUACUGGCGGGCUCGAGGCCGGUAGGGGGAAGCGGAAGUUCCCGGUGUAGUGGUGGAAUGCGUAGAUAUCGGGAGGAACACCAGUGGCGAAGGCGGCU